GCCCAAAUGGCUCAGUGGUAGAGCGUCAACCUAUAAAUGAGUAGGUCGUGAUUCAAGUCCCGAUCAGGGCA
Non-coding RNA from Myotis brandtii (Brandt's bat), 71 nucleotides. The record is from Rfam. Lineage: Eukaryota; Metazoa; Chordata; Mammalia; Chiroptera; Vespertilionidae.